AGCCAGAGGGAAGCAUCUCUACUUGGAAGUUGCCUCCUUUGGGAAUUUUUUAGUGAGAUGUUAUCCUCAGAAUGGGACAGGAGUAGACCAGAUAGAGAGCAGAACAACGUCGAAGGCUGCACUGAAGACUGACCAAGUCCUAGCAGGAAUGAACUAAGAGAGUACAUGAAGUGCUGAGUGACCUGAAUGAAAGACACAGAUGGCUGACCCAACAGUGCAUAUGUUGCAAAUAAUUUGGGCUUCCCUGCUUAAGGCUCAAAUUAAGGGAAGUAGUAUAUGACUGAAGUCCCAAGUUGGAACGAUGAAUAAUCUACUCCCUGCCCCUGAGAAUCUAGAACCAGGAACCCACAAGGUAAAAUGGUCUUGAAAAAAGCCCAAGUGGGGGCAAAAUGGUGCAGCCUACUUGCACCAUAAGGGCAAUUAUUAGAAGGGGGAGGAAUGGUCAUACCACAAGGAAUUUGCAUGUGGUCCUCAGAAAUUGUGAAACACAGAUUCUCAUCACAAAGGCGACCCUAAUUAUAUCAUUUUGGCAGAUCAGAGCCCCCUCCAUCCCCUGUUUAGUACUUGGUAUAAUUAUCCAACUGUCAAUUAACGCCAAAGAGCGUGGUAUAAAAGGCUUGGAUGUGCCCCUGUCCAAAUGGAAAUCUUGACACACAACAGGAAAAUGGCAUGCAUUUCACUGUGGAGGGUGGAUCUGCCUAUUUUAGUGUCAAACACCUGUUCUACUCCCCCUGAGAUUCUCAACCUGUCAGGAUGACCAAAGGAGACAGAAGCAGCAUUGGGUUUCAGUGCCACUGAAGAAUUAUCAAGACAUCUCGUUUAUCAAAGACACUUAAUGACAAAUUUCUGAAUUUUUGAAGGAAGCUGUACAGGACAUUGAAAACUAGGGACUCUGUGUUGUGAUGAAAACUGCAUCAACAUUGUGACUACAAUUAUGAACUUAUAAAGGAAAGCUUGUCCUCUCUAUGCUCAGUCAAUUGUCCAAGCUGUGAAGGGGUGGAGUAUAAGGGAACUAAUGGUUGUGGCCUGAACACCUGCUUCUGAUGGAGCACCUGAUGAAGGGGAGUGGGUAGCCUUGGGAGCACAGGUGCAAGCAAUUGCCUGUGCAAUCCUAACAUCAUUUAAGGGUUCUCAGCCAAGGGAGGAGCAUCUUUACUUGAUGAUUGUUUCCUUUGGAAGUUUUUCAAUGAGCUCUUCUCCUCGGAAAUGGAUGUGAAGUUGAAGAGACCACCAAGAUCAUCUAGUCCACCUGUGAUGACAAACCUAGUUGAAAAAAGUAUGCUUUUAAACAAUUUCUGGCUUAAGAUGUUGUGUGACUGCUUUGAAUGGGCAAGGAUCCCAUCCAGUAAGAGCAGUAGCCAUUGGCUUUUUGUGGGGGUUUAAGAGCCGGGAUUGUAUUUGCUUAAUAUCUUGGUUGCAUUGCUAGUAGCUGCCACUGGAGCUGGGAGGAGCUGUUGAGCUUUCUUGAGUCCUCUCAUCUCCAGAGCAAGCUGCAGACACCCUGCUCUUCCCAGCUCCUUUUUUCUGGGCAGGCCCUUUGGCAGCAGCACCUCCAGGUCUGCCUCACUCCUGGCACUGCCUUCUCUCUUCUCAGCCAGACCAGUCCCAGUAAACAGAAAGUCAGGGAAUGUGUGGUGAGGACUGGCUACCAAGCAAAGUGGGUUAUUGCAAGCUCUGUUGCAGAAGUAAGCUCUGGAGGGAGGGAAGUGCUCCAGAAAGGAAUACAGGGAUGUGAAUAGUGGCCCCUCUUCAGGUGAGAGCUGAUGGGAGGGCCUUUGAUAUUCAUGAAAUCCUGGAUUGAAGAAACCAGUCUAGAAAACUGCUUAAGAUAGGCUUGUAGGGAUGAGCGUAAAGACACUGAGGAUCUGGAGGGGCUUGUGCACUACAGAGCCUGAAGCUGAUAAGCAGAGCUUUGAACAGAGAAAGGGGAAAGCUGUAACUGAGAUGAAAGAGGCAUUUUUAAAUAAAAGAAAACAACUUGUCAAGUAACCAGACAGUUAAGGGAGUGAAAUACUUGCCUCUGAUAGGGUUUUUCUUAGUUCAGAGACAGGAGAAGCCUAUGUCAGCAGCGAGCAUUGAACAAAUGGAAUGAGGAACAGGCAAAGCAUCAGUCAUCUUUAUUAACUGAUACUGAAUGUCCACAGUCCUUAACUAGCCCCAGCUAUACUUGCUGCUAGGUUAACAUAAACACUAAUCUACCAUCAUUUGAGCAUAAUAUGUUAAUAGGGCUGCUUUUCCUUCCCUGAUGGGAAGUCUGACAGGAAUAGGCAGGUGCAUGGGGACCAGAGGAGAGGCUCCCACUGAGGUAUCAGAGCAGCAGGAAAGCCAGAAAGACCCCUUCACGCAUGCCACUUAUUUUGCUGGAUGUUGCCUCCUUCUGGCUGCACAAAGUGCAACAAGAGAAAUGGAGCCCCAGGAAUGGGGAGUGGAUGUGUUUGUGUCUCCUUAACUGUGUGCAUGUCUUCAUUUGCUCAACACUUAAAUCAGUUACAAGACACUUGUUGACUGGCAAUAAAUAUUUCUCAGCUGAUAGCUAGGUCACCUGCUGCAGAAAGAUGUGAGAUGAUUCUAAGAAGCCUUUCUGAGGCAUCUACUGCUACCAUGCUCAUCUUGAUACGGGCUGGUUUAGCUGGCUAAAUCACUAUACUCCAAUUCAUAAGUAAAAAAACACAGGAUAAUAAGUUUUCAUGGAAUUCAGGAGUUCAGAUUUCUUUUGUUUGUUAGCAACAAGUCUUAGCAUAUGCAGAUUUUUCCCAUAGUAAGCACUUUGCUGUUCUGAUAGACAUUGAUUACUUCAAAAGAGAGCCUAGAUUUGCACUCCAGAAUGGUUUGGUUUUGUGGUUUCUUCUUUUCCUUCCUGUUUUAUUAUAGUUGGAGAGACAAAAGAAACAUUAUUCUGUUAAAAGUGGGCUUUGUUCUUGUAGGAUAAUCACUUCCUUAAAUUUAUUACUUUCUAGACAGGUAUUUUUUCCAAAGAAAUUUACUUUUUUUCUUUUAUAUCCUGUGUGCCACUUCAUUCUUUCCCAACACUUGUUUUUAUAGAAUUGUUUGAGUUGCAAGGAGCCUUUAAACAUAAUCCAGUCCAACUCACCUGCAAUGAACAGGCACACCUACAGCUUGACCAGGAUGCUCAGAGCUCUGUCCAGUCUGACCUUAAUUAAUCCUGUGGAUGGGACAUCACCUCUCUGGGCAACCUGUUCCAAUGCUUCAUUGGUUUUGCAACGUUCAGAUGAUCCAGAAACAGGAUUUUUGUUUUAAAUUAAAAAGUGAAAUUUCAUAGCAUAGAUAAUAAACUACUGUAAGAAAGUAAUAAAAGAGCCUUUAAUGUAAAAUUCAGAUUUGUAUGCCUAAGGGGAAAAUAUUCUAUAACAUUUUCAAGAGCUCUUAAAAGCAGAAGAGAAUGUGUUUCAUUCAAUUGGCAGAUACGACUCUUGCCCUCAAUGGUCAUUUCCUAAAUGUCGCUGAGAUCUCAAGGGGCCUGAGUUGAAUAGUUGUUCUUGAACUUUUACCCUGAAACUCUUGAGUAAGGUUGAGCUGACAUAUAUAAUCCCACAAGAAGCCAAUGGAACAGCUGAAAAAAAAAAAAAAAGGAAAUGGAAUUUAUGGGCUUAUGCAAUUAAACAUAAUAUAAGCUGCUUUGUCUUUUCCUUGAGUUCCUGUCUUCGGUUAAAACACUGUUUUGCUCUGCUAUAAGCUCCAGCCUGUACAGCUGUGAUGCAAAGAAAAGGAAAGAAGAAAUGCAACUGUGAAAGUAAGCUAGACAGUCUGAAGGAUACAGCUUUAUGAGGGUUUAUAUUAGUUUUCUUCGUGUCAGAAUAAAAACUGAGAAGACAAUACCUCUUGUGCAAGAGGAUAUUGUUCUACAGAAGCUGGUUAAAUGGAUCACUUUGUGUUUGAUCAUUUUUAGCAAAAACCCAGGGAGCUUCGAAACAGAGUUGAACUUGCAGGAGAAUCUAUAGCUUUUUACA
Long non-coding RNA from Lagopus muta (rock ptarmigan), 3968 nucleotides. RefSeq lists it as uncharacterized. The transcript has 3 exons. The record is from RefSeq and is a predicted model, not a curated record. Lineage: Eukaryota; Metazoa; Chordata; Aves; Galliformes; Phasianidae.